Long non-coding RNA from Saccostrea cuccullata (small rock oyster), 454 nucleotides. RefSeq lists it as uncharacterized. The transcript has 3 exons. NCBI's taxonomy places the organism in Eukaryota, Metazoa, Mollusca, Bivalvia, Ostreida, Ostreidae. The record is from RefSeq and is a predicted model, not a curated record.
UGGGCGGCCUCCGUUUUUGGAGGAUAGCUAUAUUCAAUAUGACGGCCGAGUCUUUAACCAUAUAUGGCGACCGCGUUGCAUUUUGGGAUAGAUUAUCCUCCAAGAUUAAAAGAUAAAACAGGUGACCCUUCUUGCGCUCCAUAAUCAGCCGCAUUGCAGAGCAUGACGAGCACCGAGAUGGUGUGUAACACCAAAGAAGAGAGCUGAGUAUGAUGUCACAAUGCCAUUUAAAGAAAUUUGCAGCAACAAAUUGCAUGAAGUGUGGUUACACAAAAACAAAGACAGUCUUUCUGGGGACCCAAAUCGCCUCAUUCAUCGACCACUUGCUGUCCUUAAGAGAAAUUUUGCUGAUGUAAAUAAUGUAGAUCCAGUAACAUUUAAGCGAGCCAAAUUCUGCAAUUUUUGUGUGAAUGAAUUGACUUCCUAUUGUACCAAAGGCAACGAUCAUGACUAC